Molecule: long non-coding RNA, 1120 nt
Filed under: Ananas comosus (pineapple)
Lineage: Eukaryota; Viridiplantae; Streptophyta; Magnoliopsida; Poales; Bromeliaceae
Description: long non-coding RNA (ACOM_LNC012047)
Source: RNAcentral
UUAUGCAAAGCUAGCAAGUCCACGGGCAUGAUCCAAUCUCCAACCCGAAUAGGGCAACGGGGGCAAAACUCCCGAAUGUCCAAAGAAUGAUUGGGUACAACAACUCGUCCCGGAUGCAACAAUGAUACAAGUGGGAUGCCAUGCAACUCGGCAAACAGCCAGUCUAUGAAUGAAUGCGAUGCACCGGUAUCAAAUAAAGCUCUAACUCGAAUACCAUAAAGUAAAAUGAUACCUGCGACCACAUUCUCGGCUGCCGCCGCUUCCUCAGUCUGGGCCGCGUACAUGCGUCCGCUCGGGGUCUGUCGUGACCCCUCCGCCUGCCGCUGAACUGGCGGCCGUCCUGCCUAGUGAUGCGCAGAAGACGUCCCCUGGCUGGGGCCUGGCGAUGCUGGUGCAGAUGCCGAAGAUGGCGCUGGCGCUGAACCUCUCGGGCAGUCCGACUGGAAGUGGCCCUCCUAGCCACACAAGAAACACCUGCCCCGGCUGUGUGAACACUGUCGCGGGUAGUGGGGACCACCACAGAUCAUGCAGCGUGGAGCUGGCAACGAUCGGGUCCUCCUCGCUGAGUAGACGAGGAGCCACGCCCUCGCGACUGGCUCCGGCUCCUGGGGUGCCUCGGCGGCCUCCGUGAGUGUGUCUGACUCGCACCCUCAGCCGCGGGCCUCUUUCCCUUCCCUUUCUCUGAGCUCUCGCGACGCUCCUGCAAAUCCGCCGCUCCUGCCUCCACUAUCAAUGCUCGAUCCACAACCUCCCGGUAGGUCUGGAGGUUGGAGGACUGUACCAACCGAAAGAUAGAAGGCCGCAAUCCGCGCUCAAAAAUACGGGCCUUGUCCUCAUCAUCCCUCACAAGCAAACGGUACACAGUGAAGUAGCCGGGAGAACUCCCUCUCGUACUAGGCCACUGUCCGCUCGCCCUAGCGCAAGCUGCGUAAGUCCUGCUCUAUCUUCCUCUUAACGCUGGUCGGGAAGUAGUGCGCCAGAAGCAUCUCCUUGAACCUCGCCCAAGAGAUCGCUGCCAAAUCUGUGUUGGGGUUGUCCAGGAUAUCCAACCACCAACGGUAGGCCUCGUCGUCCAAGAAGUGUGUGGCGAGCCACACUCUGUCCCGCUCCUCAACAAAGG